Molecule: ribosomal RNA, 327 nt
Filed under: uncultured bacterium
Lineage: Bacteria
Description: bacterial SSU rRNA
Rfam family: Bacterial small subunit ribosomal RNA
Source: RNAcentral
AUUGAACGCUGGCGGCAGGCCUAACACAUGCAAGUCGAGCGGUAACAGGACUAGCUUGCUAGUUGCUGACAAGCGGCGGACGGGUGCGUAACACGUAGGAAUCUACCCAGUAGCGGGGGAUAGCCCGGAGAAAUCCGGAUUAAUACCGCAUACGCCCUACGGGGGAAAGCAGGGGAUCUUCGGACCUUGCACUAUUGGAUGAGCCUGCGUCGGAUUAGCUUGUUGGUGAGGUAAAGGCUCACCAAGGCGACGAUUCAUAGCUGUUCUGAGAGGAAGAUCAGCCACACUGGGACUGAGACACGGCCCAGACUCCUACGGGAGGCAGCA